RNAcentral lists this ribosomal RNA (2287 nucleotides) under Opsanus beta (Gulf toadfish). Its description in RNAcentral is "eukaryotic LSU rRNA". It matches the Rfam family "Eukaryotic large subunit ribosomal RNA", at positions 449 to 2379 of the family's 3401-position model. Lineage: Eukaryota; Metazoa; Chordata; Actinopteri; Batrachoidiformes; Batrachoididae. The record is from RNAcentral.
ACUCCUUUUAUGGUUUCCAUUGGCAUACACUUAGACACCUUAACCCAAACUUUCGGUUCAUCCCGCAUCGCCAGUUCUGCUUACCAAAAACGGCCCACUUGAAACUUUUACAUUCAUAUGUAUGCUUUAUUCAAUCAAGAAAUAAACAUACCUAUAUCACCAGUUUGCAGUUUGAGAAUAGGUCGAGGUCAUAAAUAACCCCAAUACCUCUAAUCAUUAGCUCUACCUGAUGAAACUGUACAAAACAAGUUUCAGCGAUCCUGAGGGAUAUUUCGGAGGGAACCAGCUACUAGAUGGUUCGAUUAGUCUUUCGCCCCUAUACCCACUUUCAACGAUCGAUUUGCACGUCAGAAUCGCUACUAGCCUCCACCUAUUUUUCAAUAGGCUUCACUAUAAGCAGGCAUAGAUCACCAUCUUUCGGGUACUAUCAAACACGGACCAAGGAGGCUAACAUGCACGCAAGUCGAGGAGUGGAGAAACUCUAAGGCACAACGAAAGUAAAAUGUGAGAUCUAUAGAAGAAAUUGCUAUAGCGCAUCACAGGCCAAUCUGAAAUUUGACUAGGAUUGAGUUGGAGCGUGUUUGAUAGUACCCGAAAGAUGGUGAUCUAUGCCUGCUUAUAGUGAAGCCUAUUGAAAAAUAGGUGGAGGCUAGUAGCGAUUCUGACGUGCAAAUCGAUCGUUGAAAGUGGGUAUAGGGGCGAAAGACUAAUCGAACCAUCUAGUAGCUGGUUCCCUCCGAAAUAUCCCUCAGGAUCGCUGAAACUUGUUUUGUACAGUUUCAUCAGGUAGAGCUAAUGAUUAGAGGUAUUGGGGUUAUUUAUGACCUCGACCUAUUCUCAAACUGCAAACUGGUGAUAUAGGUAUGUUUAUUUCUUGAUUGAAUAAAGCAUACAUAUGAAUGUAAAAGUUUCAAGUGGGCCGUUUUUGGUAAGCAGAACUGGCGAUGCGGGAUGAACCGAAAGUUUGGGUUAAGGUGUCUAAGUGUAUGCCAAUGGAAACCAUAAAAGGAGUUAACAGAUAAAGACAGCAUGGCUAUGUCCCUGAAAGUAGGAAUUGGCUAAGAAGUGAGUAAAACCUUACAUGCCGAAUCUGUUAGCCCUGAAAAUGAAUGACGCUAUAGCGUACCACCGAUACCCAACCAUAUUUGAUAGAAAAAAUAUGGGUAGGAGGGUGUAAUGAUUGUGAAGAAGGAUAAAGGUGACUUUAUCUGGAACAGUCAUUAGUACAGAUCUUGGUUUUAGUAGCAGCUUAUAGAAGUGAGAACCUUCUAGGCCGAAGUGGAGAAAGGUUCCGCGUGAACAGCAAUUGGACGCGGGUUAGUCGGUCCUAAGCAGAAGUUUACAAACUGUAAUAAUAGAAAACGUAAUAUAACUAGUUGACAUUGUUAACAUUAUAUCGUUUUAGUCUGCAAAAGGGAAUCAGGUUAAUAUUCCUGAACCAGGACAUGUAUAAUUAUAAAUAUAAAGUGUAAAAACUUUAGAUUUGUAAAGAAGCGGUAACGCAAACAAACUUGGAGAUGUUAUCAGUAACUCUGGGAAGAGUUAUCUUUUCUGUUUAACCAAAUAACUACCAUGGAGUAGAGUCAUUCGGAGAUAUGGUAAUAAUUUGGGAAGAACGUCGCAUUUCUGUGGCGUCUGGAAUGUUACUGAUGAUCCAUGAAAAUCCAAGGGAGUGAAUUAUUAUCAUGCCUGGCCGUACUGAGAUCCGCAUCAGGUCUCCAAGGUGAAUAGCCUCUGGCUCUAGAACAAUGUGGGUAAGGGAAGUCGGCAAAAUAGAUUCGUAACUUUGGGAAAAGGAUUGGCUCUAAGGAUUGGGUUAAUUGGAUUGUAAAUUUUAUUAAUAUUUGUAAUUUAUUAACGAAUAGAAUAUAGUGUGCCAUGUUUUUGCAUGUGAAUGCAUAUUUUACUUGUUAGUGAUUAUAUUUAUAUAUAAAGAAUACAAUUUGUAAUAGUAUAUAAAUGCAUUUAUUUGUGUUUAUAUAUAUAUUACCAUGCAGUUAUCUAAAAUCAAUCAACUUAGAACUGUAACUGACUAGGGGAAUCCGACUGUUUAAUUAAAACAAAGCAUUGCGAUGGCUGGAAACGGUGUUGACGCAAUGUGAAUUCUGCCCAGUGCUCUGAAUGUCAAAGUGUGGAAACACAACCAAGCGCGAGUAAACGGCGGGUGUAACUAUGACUCUCUUAAGAUAGCCAAAUGCCUCGUCAUCUAAUUAGUGACGCGCAUGAAUGGAUCAACGAGAUUCCCACUGUCCCUACCUACGAUCUAGCGAACAAACAGUCAAGGGAA